AACCGUUACAAGCCGCUAACACCAGUCUGCUUCAGCAGCUUGGUUGAAAUGGAGAUUGGAUGAUGCACUGUGCCCAACUAAUCAUACACGUGAUGCCUUGAGAGGUCGGGGUCAGAUUGUACAUUCACCUGCGUUUCAUACUCCAGGCCAGCAGGUGGCGGUAAUGCACCAAAUAUAUGGAUGCAAACUGCUGUUUAGAGAAGAAGAAGAAGAAGAAGAACGCGCUGCGGGCCUGGUCUGCAGUCUGCUCCGUCUGAGACGACACUAUGGAGAUGUUUGGACUGCAGUAUAAUGAGCAUGGUUGCCCCCAGUUCCUGUGGACUGGGACCAGCACAGGACCAAGACUGCCCGACCUCCUCCAGAGCAGUGCAUCCACUGCACAGUCAUCGUAAUGGACGUGGCACUAAGGAGGAUUGUCCAGCCGCAGAUGACGCUGAAGAACCGUUACAAGCCGCUAACACCAGUCUGCUUCAGCAGCUUGGUUGAAAUGGAGAUUGGAUGAUGCACUGUGCCCAACUAAUCAUACACGUGAUGCCUUGAGAGGUCGGGGUCAGAUUGUGAGUACUCCUCCGUUUU
Molecule: long non-coding RNA, 576 nt
Organism: Pseudoliparis swirei
Lineage: Eukaryota; Metazoa; Chordata; Actinopteri; Perciformes; Liparidae
Exons: 5
Source: RefSeq, a predicted model, not a curated record